GAUGAACGCUGACAGAAUGCUUAACACAUGCAAGUCAACUUGAAUUUGGGUUUUUACCUUAGGUUUGGGUGGCGGACGGGUGAGUAACGCGUAAAGAACUUGCCUCACAGCUAGGGACAACAUUUGGAAACGAAUGCUAAUACCUAAUAUUAUGAUAAUAGGGCAUCCUAUAAUUAUGAAAGCUAUAAGCGCUGUGAGAGAGCUUUGCGUCCCAUUAGCUAGUUGGAGAGGUAACGGCUCACCAAGGCGAUGAUGGGUAGCCGGCCUGAGAGGGUGAUCGGCCACAAGGGGACUGAGACACGGCCCUUACUCCUACGGGAGGCAGCAGUGGGGAAUAUUGGACAAUGGACCAAGAGUCUGAUCCAGCAAUUCUGUGUGCACGAUGAAGUUUUUCGGAAUGUAAAGUGCUUUCAGUUGGGAAGAAGGAAAUGACGGUACCAACAGAAGAAGUGACGGCUAAAUACGUG
This 467-nucleotide ribosomal RNA is filed under the name uncultured bacterium. Its description in RNAcentral is "partial 16S ribosomal RNA". It matches the Rfam family "Bacterial small subunit ribosomal RNA", at positions 28 to 507 of the family's 1533-position model. The record is from RNAcentral.